This is a long non-coding RNA of Brachypodium distachyon (stiff brome), 1143 nucleotides long. RefSeq lists it as uncharacterized. The transcript has 2 exons. The record is from RefSeq and is a predicted model, not a curated record. Lineage: Eukaryota; Viridiplantae; Streptophyta; Magnoliopsida; Poales; Poaceae.
GACCCAGGCAUGUGGUAAUGGUGGCUCAUCGGUGUAGAGCAUCGGUGGUACUAUAGACACUACUGCACGCAAACCAAAUCGACCCCAUUCCUGGUUACCGAAUCAAGGAAGAAGAGGAUCGCACGAAUCGAAUCGGAGUAAUCGAGCCGACAGAAACGAUGGGAUUAGCCGGGAUAGCAAGAGAGGAAGGAUCGAUCGGAGCAGGACAAGGGAUGAAGGGAAUGCGCGCCCUCGCCGUUCUCCUGGCGGCCUUCCACUGCCUGCGGUUCAUCUCCAUCUGCAACGGAGUUGGAGAAACGGACCGAGUAACCGUCCCGACGGAGUCGGAGAAGAAGCAAAGCGCUGCUAGCUAGGCGCCAUGUGUUGGUGAGCCAGAACAAACGGGGCUGAUCAAUUCUCAUGUUUACAGCCCACAGAUAAGCUUAGAUCCUUAAAAAACGUGCAGAAACAAAUGGAAAAAGGUACGUCUUGGUUUAUUAGUUGUGUCGGCAAUUUGUUCCGUUUUCUUUCUCAUUGAUUCACUACCAUGCAUUGAGACGUUUGUGUCCUUUGACCAAAAAUUACUGUGACUUGUGUGAUACAAAUCAUAAUCAUGAACAAAUACUCCCUCCGUCCCAUAUUAAGUGACGAAAUAUUACAUGUAUAUAGACACUUUUUGGAUAUAGAUACAUUUAUAUUUGGACAAAUUCGAGUCAUUUAAUAUGAGACGGAGGGAGUACCUUUGGCAAUGAUAUCAAUUUUAUUAAAAAAUAUAUUAAUAGACUAAUACUCCUCAAAGGAAACACUUUGGCAAUGAUAUCAAUUUUAUUAAAAAAAAUAUUAAUGGACUAAUACUCCUCAAAGGAAACAAAAUACGUCAUAAUAUUAGGAACGAAGGGAGUACUGGUUAAGAGCUGAAUUCAUGGUAAGCAUAUGUACUGUGACACUGGUUCAAAAUAGAACUCUGUACUGGUUAGAGUUGAAUUACAAGUUCCCGAUAAAAAAGAAUUGGCUUCAAAGAAUUCAAAAUUCACGAAAAAUUUAUAGGGCAAUAGAGCAUCACAGAAUAGAACUCUGUUUACCCGCAUUUAACUAAAGUAUAAGCAAAUCAGAUCAUCAAAGUCACAGAAUUCUUGCCUAAUAUCAUGGAGAAAAAUUUCUUUU